UAGGGAAUCUUCCACAAUGGGCGCAAGCCUGAUGGAGCAACACCGCGUGAGUGAAGAAGGGUUUCGGCUCGUAAAGCUCUGUUGUUAAAGAAGAACACGUAUGAGAGUAACUGUUCAUACGUUGACGGUAUUUAACCAGAAAGUCACGGCUAACUACGUGCCAGCAGCCGCGGUAAUACGUAGGUGGCAAGCGUUAUCCGGAUUUAUUGGGCGUAAAGAGAGUGCAGGCGGUUUUCUAAGUCUGAUGUGAAAGCCUUCGGCUUAACCGGAGAAGUGCAUCGGAAACUGGAUAACUUGAGUGCAGAAGAGGGUAGUGGAACUCCAUGUGUAGCGGUGGAAUGCGUAGAUAUAUGGAAGAACACCAGUGGCGAAGGCGGCUACCUGGUCUGCAACUGACGCUGAGACUCGAAAGCAUGGGUAGCGAACAGGAUUAGAUACCCUGGUAGUCCAUGCCGUAAACGAUGAGUGCUAGGUGUUGGAGGGUUUCCACCCUUCAGUGCCGGAGCUAACGCAUUAAGCACUCCGCCUGGGGAGUACGACCGCAAGGUUG
RNAcentral lists this ribosomal RNA (550 nucleotides) under uncultured bacterium. Its description in RNAcentral is "bacterial SSU rRNA". It matches the Rfam family "Bacterial small subunit ribosomal RNA", at positions 355 to 896 of the family's 1533-position model. The record is from RNAcentral.